ACUACUGGAUAUAAGAUGGUCUUUGGCACGGGCAUAGCUCUGACAGUUGAACCAAAAGAAAAAAAGGAACCUGAGUUUUACAAGGUUGGCACUGAUGGUGAAGAAUCCUGCCUGGCCACUCGCUUUACAGUUCAAAAUGUGACUGACAAUUUUUGGCCACUUAAAGACCAAAACCAAGCAGGAGCAGUUCGUUUCUCAGGCGAGGAAUAUUACAGCAGGUUGAUAUUGGACACCGAUAACUGCAGUGAACCUGACGUUGCAUGCAGCACAGCCAAGACUGAAAGUGGAGGUGGUUUCCUUUCAGAUGCCAAGACAAACUUUUUGGCAUUCGGCAUCUUCUGGUUGCGGGUUCUCUUUUUGAAGACCGUUGCGUUCAACAUCUUGAUGACGCUGAAAUUCUGGAUGGCCUAGACUGGAUGCCUUUUGGGAAUUUGGUGAUACAAUCCCUAAUUGGAAAGACACGGAUUGGAUUUUUGUGCUGUCUACGUGAAGAAAGUGGAAUGUUCUUUGUAUGAAAUGGCAACACGGUUGUCGAAAUGCAAUGUAAUGCAGUUCUUGUUUGCUCAUUUAUGAGCUCUUACCUUUUACUAUGCUAAAAUGCUUACUAAUCAAUUCAAUCCAUAUAUACAACAUGCUUUUUUUUUAUUUUAAAUAUGCAUGCUUUUAACAAUAAACUUCUGUCACAAUGUAUACUCACAUCUAGACAUUCGAGUGCUUGUUAAGUCUGAGUUAAGACAUUCAGUUACCAGCACAUUUUUUUCCUGUGUAUAAUUAUUAUUAUUAUUUUAACUAAAUCCUGUAUUUUCAUUUACAUAUCAUCUUUCAUUUGUAUUUCCAUAUCCACUGCGGAAUAUAUGUAUGAUUUGAGGUUGAUGCUAAGAUGUAUGCACCUACAAAUAUUGUAUAAUGUUUAUAUAUGGCUUUAUUUGUAUAGAUUACCAUUCAUUUAUAUUAAGAAUCUGUGUUUUUGCACAUUUAAAUAAAUCAUAAAUGCAUGAAAUAA
Silurus meridionalis is the source of this 1003-nucleotide non-coding RNA. The record is from the annotation of a RefSeq genome assembly. NCBI's taxonomy places the organism in Eukaryota, Metazoa, Chordata, Actinopteri, Siluriformes, Siluridae.